RNAcentral lists this ribosomal RNA (540 nucleotides) under Lactococcus garvieae. RNAcentral's name for it is "bacterial SSU rRNA". It matches the Rfam family "Bacterial small subunit ribosomal RNA", at positions 55 to 574 of the family's 1533-position model. The record is from RNAcentral. Lineage: Bacteria; Bacillati; Bacillota; Bacilli; Lactobacillales; Streptococcaceae.
AUGCAAGUCGAGCCGAUGAUUAAAGAUAGCUUGCUAUUUUUAUGAAGAGCGGCGAACGGGUGAGUAACGCGUGGGAAAUCUGCCGAGUAGCGGGGGACAACGUUUGGAAACGAACGCUAAUACCGCAUAACAAUGAGAAUCGCAUGAUUCUUAUUUAAAAGAAGCAAUUGCUUCACUACUUGAUGAUCCCGCGUUGUAUUAGCUAGUUGGUAGUGUAAAGGACUACCAAGGCGAUGAUACAUAGCCGACCUGAGAGGGUGAUCGGCCACACUGGGACUGAGACACGGCCCAGACUCCUACGGGAGGCAGCAGUAGGAAUCUUCGGCAAUGGGGGCAACCCUGACCGAGCAACGCCGCGUGAGUGAAGAAGGUUUUCGGAUCGUAAAACUCUGUUGUUAGAGAAGAACGUUAAGUAGAGUGGAAAAUUACUUAAGUGACGGUAUCUAACCAGAAAGGGACGGCUAACUACGAUGCCAGCAGCCGCGGUAAAUACGUAGUCCCAAGCGUUGUCCGGAUUUAUUGGGCGUAAAGCGAGCGCAG